This 468-nucleotide ribosomal RNA is filed under the name uncultured bacterium. RNAcentral's name for it is "partial 16S ribosomal RNA". It matches the Rfam family "Bacterial small subunit ribosomal RNA", at positions 28 to 507 of the family's 1533-position model. The record is from RNAcentral.
GACGAACGCUGGCGGCGUGCUUAACACAUGCAAGUCGAACGGAAAGGCCCUGCUUUUGUGGGGUGCUCGAGUGGCGAACGGGUGAGCAACACGUGAGUAACCUGCCCUUGACUUUGGGAUAACUUCAGGAAACUGGGGCUAAUACCGGAUAGGAGCUCCUGCUGCAUGGUGGGGGUUGGAAAGUUUCGGCGGUUGGGGAUGGACUCGCGGCUUAUCAGCUUGUUGGUGGGGUAGUGGCUUACCAAGGCUUUGACGGGUAGCCGGCCUGAGAGGGUGACCGGCCACAUUGGGACUGAGAUACGGCUCAGACUCCUACGGGAGGCAGCAGUGGGGAAUAUUGCACAAUGGGCGGAAGCCUGAUGCAGCAACGCCGCGUGCGGGAUGACGGCCUUCGGGUUGUAAACCGCUUUCGCCUGUGACGAAGCGUGAGUGACGGUAAUGGGUAAAGAAGCACCGGCUAACUACGUG